Molecule: unclassified non-coding RNA, 265 nt
Filed under: Mortierella sp.
Lineage: Eukaryota; Fungi; Mortierellomycota; Mortierellomycetes; Mortierellales; Mortierellaceae
Also listed under: 1 other name
Description: partial contains 5.8S ribosomal RNA, internal transcribed spacer 2, and large subunit ribosomal RNA
Rfam family: 5.8S ribosomal RNA (bases 1-52)
Source: RNAcentral
AACGCACCUUGCGCCUCUUGGUAUUCCGAGAGGCAUGCCUGUUUGAGUGUCAUGAAACAUCAAUCCCCAUGGGUUUUUUUGACCCGUGGUCGGACUUGGAAUUGGGUGUCUGCCUCCCCAGGCUCGCCUCAAAAGACUCAGUGGGACUCUGUGACCUAUGCCUGACGUAAUAAGUUUCGUUUCGGCCGGUCGCUUGGGCCUGCUCACAACACACCAUACUUUUGACAUUGACCUCAAAUCAGGUAGGGCUACCCGCUGAACUUAA